This 446-nucleotide ribosomal RNA is filed under the name uncultured organism. RNAcentral's name for it is "partial 16S ribosomal RNA". It matches the Rfam family "Bacterial small subunit ribosomal RNA", at positions 334 to 797 of the family's 1533-position model. The record is from RNAcentral.
CACUCCUGCGGGAGGCAGCAGUGGGGAAUAUUGGACAAUGGGCGCAAGCCUGAUCCAGCCAUGCCGCGUGAGUGAUGAAGGCCCUAGGGUUGUAAAGCUCUUUCACCGGUGAAGAUAAUGACGGUAACCGGAGAAGAAGCCCCGGCUAACUUCGUGCCAGCAGCCGCGGUAAUACGAAGGGGGCUAGCGUUGUUCGGAUUUACUGGGCGUAAAGCGCACGUAGGCGGACUAUUAAGUCAGGGGUGAAAUCCCGGGGCUCAACCCCGGAACUGCCUUUGAUACUGGUAGUCUUGAGUUCGAGAGAGGUGAGUGGAAUUCCGAGUGUAGAGGUGAAAGUCGUAGAUAUUCGGAGGAACACCAGUGGCGAAGGCGGCUCACUGGCUCGAUACUGACGCUGAGGUGCGAAAGCGUGGGGAGCAAACAGGAUUAGAAACCCCAGUAGUCCC